Molecule: ribosomal RNA, 477 nt
Filed under: uncultured anaerobic ammonium-oxidizing bacterium
Lineage: Bacteria
Description: bacterial SSU rRNA
Rfam family: Bacterial small subunit ribosomal RNA
Source: RNAcentral
UUCGCAAUGCCCGAAAGGGUGACGAAGCGACGCCGCGUGGGUGAGGAAGGCCUUCGGGUUGUAAAGCCCUGUCAGGAGUUAAGAAAUGUAAGUGCGCUAAUAUCGCAUUUACUUGACGAAGGCUCCAAAGGAAGCCACGGCUAACUCUGUGCCAGCAGCCGCGGUAAUACAGAGGUGGCAAGCGUUGUUCGGAAUUAUUGGGCGUAAAGAGCACGUAGGUGGGUUUGUAAGUCAGAUGUGAAAGCCUUCUGUUCAACGGGAGAAUUGCAUCUGAAGCUGCAAAUCUUGAGUAUAGGAGGGGAGAAUGGAACUUCUGGUGGAGCGGUGAAAUGCGUAGAUAUCAGAAGGAACGCCGGCGGCGAAAGCGAUUCUCUGGUCUAUUACUGACACUCAGUGUGCGAAAGCUAGGGGAGCAAACGGGAUUAGAUACCCCGGUAGUCCUAGCUGUAAACGAUGGGCACUAAGUAGAGGGGUUUU